UGGGCUGACCAACACCUAGAAUGAUGCUGAUUUGGGGCAUUUCAUAUGGAUGAGGAAGUGGGUGCAAAGUGGUUGUCAUAAGUAUUGGCAAUUUUAUCUCAUAUAGAAAUCUUUCUUUCAUGAGUAUUAGAUUGAUUCAAUCAGAUUUGAAUUAGGACUCCUAUACUUAUUGGGUCAUGGGAUUCAUCUAUAAAUAGAGAGGGUCUUUACCUAUAGAUAUAUAACAAAAUAGAAAAUAAAUCAGAUUGAGAGAAGAGAGAAAGAGAGAGAGGCGUAAGAAGAGAGAAAUCCUUCUUCUUCUCCUUAGCAUCUCCUCUUUAGUGCCACCCCUUCUCCCUUGGGUGUGGGCCCUCCUUGGGCCUCCCACCUGCUGGUGUGAGGUGUCACACUAGUACAUCUCCUCCCUCAUUUGAUUGGAUUGUGAAGAUCAAAGUUUAUCCUGCUUUUCUAUGGCGUCUGGCAUGCAUGCAAAGUAGAGGAUCUUAACGAUAGAGGAUCUUUCUGAAAACUAGAUCGAUUCACCCCUGAACUGAGUUGGCUCAUUUCAGUGGGUCGACUAAGUAUAAUACUUAGUUGGCUAACUGAUUAUAAAUAGUAACCAUUACUAUUUGGCCUGAGAUAACUAUGUCAGGUCAGUCAACACUGAAUCGUUAAAAAAUAAGAGACUGGAUCGACUCAGUUCAAAACUAGUCGGCUCAAUUGGCAUGCCAAUAGGUAUC
This 719-nucleotide long non-coding RNA is filed under the name Elaeis guineensis (African oil palm). Its description in RNAcentral is "long non-coding RNA (EGUI_LNC081883)". The record is from RNAcentral. Lineage: Eukaryota; Viridiplantae; Streptophyta; Magnoliopsida; Arecales; Arecaceae.